GUUCACAUAAAGAUGAGUAAGUAACUUGUUGAUUUUAGAGAUGUACUGGCUGGUGUAAAGUGCAAUCAAUGUUACUGAACGCUACUUUAUGUCAUAGAGAAUACGUGAUUUUAAGUGGUAAGAAAUUUAAUUAAGUUAUAAAUAGUUUCUUUUAUAGCUACUAUUAUUUUUCUUAUAACUAGGGUGGUACCGCGAUAACGUUCGUCCCUUUG
This 212-nucleotide unclassified non-coding RNA is filed under the name Staphylococcus capitis. Its description in RNAcentral is "T-box". Lineage: Bacteria; Bacillati; Bacillota; Bacilli; Caryophanales; Staphylococcaceae. The record is from RNAcentral.